Carassius gibelio (silver crucian carp) is the source of this 598-nucleotide long non-coding RNA. RefSeq lists it as uncharacterized. The transcript is spliced from 3 exons. The record is from RefSeq and is a predicted model, not a curated record. Lineage: Eukaryota; Metazoa; Chordata; Actinopteri; Cypriniformes; Cyprinidae.
UUCUUUAAUGGAUAUUUUAAGCAGUUAUAGCUGGACUUGAACCAAAGGUGAGUUCCCCAUUCUGCUUAUUCAUUGUUUACAGACAUAAAUACACUCCUAGACAAAGAGAAUAUACCUGCUAAUUCAUCUGAACUGUGACACUGGUGAGGUGCCCUCGCCGCGGUAUGUGGAAUGUCACACCUGAUUCAGACGCACCCAAUACCUGACAUCAACCUGUCACUCACGAUCACUAUUUGUAAACUGAGUUUACAUGUUUAAUGGAACAAUUUGCUUGUGGCAGUUGCUGACUUUUGAAAGAAUGGGGAAGUUUACCACAUUUAUGAUGAGUUUGGAAGAGGGCCACGUAUACCUAAAACAGUAAGAACAGGGAUGAGAAGAGCCACAGAGAUCACACACAGAGGUGAAGGCACAGUGAAAGGUCACAAAGUUCCAUAAGUUCCUACCAUGCCCUAAGAUAAGAUGUUUUGAAGAAUAUUGGAGUCCAAAACAUCACUGGACCCAACUGACUUUUGGUGUACGGACAAAGAAACGCUGACACAACAGAAUAUCUUCUUCUGUGUUCCACAGAAGAAAGAAACUCAUACAGGUUUGGAAGAAC